GAUCUAAUAGGUAAGAGAGAGCUUUCUUCAGUCCACCCAUGGGUAGCGAUGGGAUUUAAUUAGCUGCCGACUCAUUCACCCAAAUACUGAGUUAAAAUGGACCGGCCUGCAAAUAGUUACUCAGUAAAUGAGUGAAUGAUGCGGGAGACAAAUUGAAUCCUAAUCUUCCUGUGCUUGGACUGAAGGGAGCUCCUUCUGCUGUUAUUUUAUCAACACCUAAACUACUUUCAUCCAUGUUUUUCACGACGACCACUACCUUUAUAUAUAGUAAUAAUUUGUGGCUGAGAUAUCAAUGUAGGAAUAAUGAUCGCUUUAUUAGCUUGUUUGUUUGUUCUUCAUUGACAUUUAUAUAGAUUAUCUCAACUUCUUAAUGGCGGUGCGUUCUCAUUGUUUGACUACUACGAAAGGAAAGUUUCGUUUUUCGCUCCAGGAGGAAAAUUUUGCAGCUGUUUCUGGAGUCUAGGGCUGAGGGUUUUACUGUGAAGCUGCUGUUGCAGUUUCUUGUUUAAAGCUCCACC
This is a long non-coding RNA of Hibiscus syriacus, 518 nucleotides long. RefSeq lists it as uncharacterized. The transcript has 2 exons. NCBI's taxonomy places the organism in Eukaryota, Viridiplantae, Streptophyta, Magnoliopsida, Malvales, Malvaceae. The record is from RefSeq and is a predicted model, not a curated record.